Molecule: long non-coding RNA, 379 nt
Filed under: Elaeis guineensis (African oil palm)
Lineage: Eukaryota; Viridiplantae; Streptophyta; Magnoliopsida; Arecales; Arecaceae
Description: long non-coding RNA (EGUI_LNC056127)
Source: RNAcentral
AUGGGAUGGUGACUUUGAAAGUCUCUGGCCAGAGCAGGGAUGAACAGUAGAAAUGAUUUCUACUCGUUUAUUGACCGAGUCAUCAUCAUUUGAUCAAGAUACAUAUAGUUAGGUAUUUGUGAAAGAAGAGUGCCCUAUAAGUCAAUUGCAAGUAUGUUGCGAUGGAAUUUUUCUUUAUAAUUUUCCAACUCAUGUAAUAAUAUUUAUUAUUUAAGGUAUUGAUUCAUCAUAUUAGUUGCAUCUUAUUAUGUCUAAGAUUAUGAUGAACCCCAAAAAUUAGGACAAUAAUUUUAGGAGACAUGAAUGGGUCAUGCUAGUGAGACCUAAAAUCCUAAAAUCUUAAUCUUAAAUAUUUUUGAUCAUAGAAACAUUGAGUCGG